UGAUGUUUCGGUGCGAAGGAGAGCAUGUAGCUCGUCUAAGAGAAGUUAAAUUUUCGCGGUCCUCUCUGGAUCAUAAGGCGGCAUUUAUAGUGGACACGCCAUCGAAGAUUUUCCUUUUCAGUGGUUAUAAUUCUUGUGUACAAACAAGGGCUAUGGCACUAGAUGUCAUAAAGCAUCUGAGAGAAACCCAACACUGUGGCAGAUGUGACAUCGGGAUAAUAGGUAGUGUUGAAUGAAAUUAUAUCUUCCAUUAGCAAGGAUAGAAUAUGCUAAGAUUUUUAUUUUUGUUUGUUACUGAUUGUAGAUGAUGGAAAGCUUGCUGGUGAUUCAGAUGCUGGUGAGUUUUGGAACCUCUUUGGAGGCUAUGCGCCUAUUCCUCGUGAUGUACCAGAUGCAGACAAUGGGGAACCGAUGGCUACCUCACCCACGAAACUUUUUUGGUGACUACCCCCAGCUUAAUUCAGACUCCAUUUGUAACCUUGAGUUAGUAUGUAAAACUAUAUUUGUACACUUUCCUGUAUGUAGGAUUAACAAGAGAAACCUUGUUCCCAUGGAGGCACAUUUUUUAGAAAGAGAAAUGCUGAAGUCCGACAGAAGUUACAUACUCGACUGUGGAGCUGAAAUAUUCUUGUGGAUAGGGAUGACAACACUAGUUUCAGAGAGGAAGACAUCUGCUACAACAUUAGAGGAAUAUGUACACUUACAAGGCAGAUCAUCAAUUGGUCAUACUGUUAUAAUGACCGAAGGUCAUGAAGUUGCCGACUUUAAGCUGCAUUUUCAGCACUGGCCUAAGAAUGGUGUGCAGAAGUUGCACGAGGCAGGGCGGGAGAA
Molecule: long non-coding RNA, 831 nt
Organism: Hordeum vulgare subsp. vulgare (domesticated barley)
Lineage: Eukaryota; Viridiplantae; Streptophyta; Magnoliopsida; Poales; Poaceae
Exons: 3
Source: RefSeq, a predicted model, not a curated record